AGGAACUUCCAAAUUUUGUCAACAUUUAAUUACGGGAAAAAUAUGAAAAAAAUAAUAAGUUCAGCAUUAUCCUAGAGUUCCUAGACACGAUUGAUAUCCCAGCACCCAAAGGAAAAUAUUGUUAACAGGAAAGUGCCAACGGGACCCGAAGUGGCGAGUCAGGAAAAGAAACACACUAGGCAAGCUUGGUGAUAUUUAAUUACGCCGCAUGUCGAAGAAAAAGGAAGAGAGAAAAUACUUUUCAAGGGUAAUAAAGAAGAUUCUUACAAUUUCUCUAUUGUGGUUCUAGAUGUUAAUAUAUAUUAGGUUUAAUAAUAAGAAGUCGAAUAUUGCAAGAAUAUAUAAGGCAAAGCAAUAUACUAUUAAUUUAAAUAUUGUUUUUUUUUUCUCUCCUGUAUUUUUACCUGAAAAGAAACAAAAAUAAAGUAGGUAGGUACCUAGAACUCCUAGAAGCCAUGAUUAGCUCCCCAAGGCCUACUUCAUACCUAAUGCUGACAACAACGUAUCAUAGCAUGAUCGUAUCAGGCCCUGUCAAACAUGAAGAGAAACAUCUAGAACACGGGUAUGAUCUAGAGGAGUUUCAAUAUGGUAGACCAUAUGAUAACCGUACCUAUACUACGCAGACUAUGACAUGAGCGUAACGACUCCUUCAAAAUAUUGUUGGUCGGCUCGGUCCAGUCACGUCACGGUAUGGUGUUGGCAGGGGAUGGAAUGGUUUAGUGGGUGAUGACUGAUAAUAUUUCAUACAAAGCAUGAUUUUGAGCCGGACAUGAUCCUGUUAUAGCCACGUAUUACAUCAUUCUGUUACAGUACGAUGCUGCGGGCACAGGCCACAUGUAGGUAUUUUUUGUUGAAGUCGAGGAAGGUUCCAAACGGUACCUAAAUAGUAAGAGAUUGUUGAAAUUAGACAUCUAACCGUGAUCCUAAAUAUUACUACUAAGACUAAGGCUUACUUAAUAAGUUGGAUAGUUUGUUUUGAACAUUUGUACCUACCCACCUCAUCGGCUUCGUAUAUGUACAAGCAAGCGGGCUCCGUUGUUAGGUUGAUGAAAGUUUUGUAUAAGGAAGUCUUAGGAUUACUUUUAUAAACUUACGAACAUGAAUUGAAAUUAUAUGUAGCUAUUUACUUA
Cydia fagiglandana is the source of this 1130-nucleotide long non-coding RNA. RefSeq lists it as uncharacterized. The record is from RefSeq and is a predicted model, not a curated record. The transcript has 3 exons. NCBI's taxonomy places the organism in Eukaryota, Metazoa, Arthropoda, Insecta, Lepidoptera, Tortricidae.